This 424-nucleotide ribosomal RNA is filed under the name uncultured bacterium. RNAcentral's name for it is "partial 16S ribosomal RNA". It matches the Rfam family "Bacterial small subunit ribosomal RNA", at positions 360 to 776 of the family's 1533-position model. The record is from RNAcentral.
AAUAUUUGACAAUGGGGGCAACCCUGAUCCAGCCAUGCCGCGUGCGUGAAGAUGGUCUUAGGAUUGUAAAGCCCCUUAAUUUGGGAGGAAGGGUUUACACCUAUUACGUGUGAACUUUGACGUUACCAAAAGAAUACGCACCGGCUAACUUCGUGCCAGACGCCGCGGUAAUACGAAGGGUGCAAGCGUUAAUCGGAAUUACUGGGCGUAAAGCGCGCGUAGGUGGUUCGUUAAGUUGGAAGUGAAAGCCCCGGGCUCAACCUGGGAAUUGCUUUCAAAACUGGCAAGCUAGAGUACGGUAGAGGGUGGUGGAAUUUCCUGUGUAGCGGUGAGAUGCGUAGAUAUAGGAAGGAACAUCAGUGGCGAAGGCGACCACCUGGACUGAUACUGACACUGAGGUGCGAAAGCGUGGGGAGCAAACAGG